This 447-nucleotide ribosomal RNA is filed under the name uncultured Planctomyces sp. RNAcentral's name for it is "bacterial SSU rRNA". It matches the Rfam family "Bacterial small subunit ribosomal RNA", at positions 338 to 795 of the family's 1533-position model. The record is from RNAcentral. Lineage: Bacteria; Pseudomonadati; Planctomycetota; Planctomycetia; Planctomycetales; Planctomycetaceae.
CCUACGGGGGGCUGCAGUCGAGAAUCUUCGGCAAUGGGCGCAAGCCUGACCGAGCGACGCUGCGUGUGGGAUGAAGGCCCUUGGGUUGUAAACCACUGUCAGAGGGGAUGAAAGCGUAAGCUUGACAGAGCCUCAGAGGAAGCGCGGGCUAAGUUCGUGCCAGCAGCCGCGGUAAUACGAACUGCGCGAACGUUAUUCGGAAUCACUGGGCUUACAGGGUGCGUAGGCGGCCUUUCAGGUCCGAUGUGAAAUCCCCCAGCUCAACUGGGGAACGGCAUUGGAAACCGAUUGGCUUGAGUGAGCUAGAGAUGUACGGAACUUCCGGUGGAGCGGUGAAAUGUGUUGAGAUCGGAAGGAACACCAGAGGCGAAAGCGGUACAUUGGGGCUUGUCUGACGCUGAGGCACGAAAGCCAGGGGAGCGAACGGGAUUAGAUACCCCAGUAGUC